GCGGGUGUGGUGGAAUUGGUAGACACGCUAGAUUUAGGAUCUAGUGCCGCAAGGCGUGAAGGUUCGAGUCCUUUCACCCGCA
RNAcentral lists this transfer RNA (82 nucleotides) under Bacteroidota bacterium. RNAcentral's name for it is "tRNA-Leu". It matches the Rfam family "tRNA". From Rfam's summary of the family: Transfer RNA (tRNA) molecules are approximately 80 nucleotides in length. Lineage: Bacteria; Pseudomonadati; Bacteroidota. The record is from RNAcentral. RNAcentral also lists the same sequence under 1 other name.